AAAUUGAAGAGUUUGAUCAUGGCUCAGAUUGAACGCUGGCGGCAGGCCUAACACAUGCAAGUCGAGCGGUAGCACAGAGAGCUUGCUCUCGGGUGACGAGCGGCGGACGGGUGAGUAAUGUCUGGGAAACUGCCUGAUGGAGGGGGAUAACUACUGGAAACGGUGGCUAAUACCGCAUAAUGUCGCAAGACCAAAGUGGGGGACCUUCGGGCCUCAUGCCAUCAGAUGUGCCCAGAUGGGAUUAGCUUGUAGGUGGGGUAACGGCUC
Molecule: ribosomal RNA, 267 nt
Filed under: Pseudomonas aeruginosa
Lineage: Bacteria; Pseudomonadati; Pseudomonadota; Gammaproteobacteria; Pseudomonadales; Pseudomonadaceae
Description: partial 16S ribosomal RNA
Rfam family: Bacterial small subunit ribosomal RNA
Source: RNAcentral